RNAcentral lists this ribosomal RNA (434 nucleotides) under uncultured Lachnospiraceae bacterium. RNAcentral's name for it is "bacterial SSU rRNA". It matches the Rfam family "Bacterial small subunit ribosomal RNA", at positions 341 to 792 of the family's 1533-position model. The record is from RNAcentral. Lineage: Bacteria; Bacillati; Bacillota; Clostridia; Lachnospirales; Lachnospiraceae.
ACGGAAGGCAGCAGUGGGGAAUAUUGCACAAUGGGCGAAAGCCUGAUGCAGCGACGCCGCGUGAGUGAAGAAGUAUCUCGGUAUGUAAAGCUCUAUCAGCAGGGAAGAAAAUGACGGUACCUGACUAAGAAGCCCCGGCUAACUACGUGCCAGCAGCCGCGGUAAUACGUAGGGGGCAAGCGUUAUCCGGAUUUACUGGGUGUAAAGGGAGCAUAGACGGUUUGGCAAGUCUGAAGUGAAAUGCGGGGGCUCAACUCCUGAACUGCUUUGGAAACUGUCGAACUAGAGUGCAGGAGAGGUAAGUGGAAUUCCUAGUGUAGCGGUGAAAUGCGUAGAUAUUAGGAGGAACACCAGUGGCGAAGGCGGCUUACUGGACUGUAACUGACGUUGAGGCUCGAAAGCGUGGGGAGCAAACAGGAUUAGAUACCCUGGUA